RNAcentral lists this ribosomal RNA (460 nucleotides) under uncultured bacterium. RNAcentral describes it as "partial 16S ribosomal RNA". It matches the Rfam family "Bacterial small subunit ribosomal RNA", at positions 338 to 795 of the family's 1533-position model. The record is from RNAcentral.
CCUACGGGCGGCUGCAGUGAGGAAUAUUGGUCAAUGGGCGCGAGCCUGAACCAGCGAAGCCGCGUGAAGGAUGACUGCCCUCCGGGUUGUAAACUUCUUUUAUAAAGGAAUAAAGUGAGGCACGUGUGCCUUUUUGUAUGUACUUUAUGAAUAAGGAUCGGCUAACUCCGUGCCAGCAGCCGCGGUAAUACGGAGGAUCCGGGCGUUAUCCGGAUUUAUUGGGUUUAAAGGGAGCGUAGAUGGGUUGUUAAGUCAGUUGUGAAAGUGUGGGGCUCAACCGUAAAAUUGCACUUGGUACUGGCAGUCUUGAGUGCAGUUGAGGUAGGCGGAAUUCGUGGUGUAGCGGUGAAAUGCGUAGAUAUCACGAAGAACUCCGAUUGCGAAGGCAGCUUACUAGACUGCCACUGACAUUGAUGCUCGAAAGUGUGGGUAGCAAACAGGAUUAGAUACCCCAGUAGUC